GUGGUCGUGCCCGAGUGGUUAAGGGGUCUGAUUCGAAAUCAGAUGGGAUCUCCCGCAUAGGUUCGAAUCCUGUCGACCGCG
Molecule: transfer RNA, 81 nt
Filed under: Volvox carteri f. nagariensis
Lineage: Eukaryota; Viridiplantae; Chlorophyta; Chlorophyceae; Chlamydomonadales; Volvocaceae
Description: tRNA-Ser (CGA) (tRNA-Ser-CGA-4-1)
Rfam family: tRNA
About the family: Transfer RNA (tRNA) molecules are approximately 80 nucleotides in length. Their secondary structure includes four short double-helical elements and three loops (D, anti-codon, and T loops). Further hydrogen bonds mediate the characteristic L-shaped molecular structure. tRNAs have two regions of fundamental functional importance: the anti-codon, which is responsible for specific mRNA codon recognition, and the 3' end, to which the tRNAs corresponding amino acid is attached (by aminoacyl-tRNA synthetases). tRNAs cope with the degeneracy of the genetic code in two manners: having more than one tRNA (with a specific anti-codon) for a particular amino acid; and 'wobble' base-pairing, i.e. permitting non-standard base-pairing at the 3rd anti-codon position.
Source: Rfam by way of RNAcentral